GACGAACGCUGGCGGCGUGCUUAACACAUGCAAGUCGAACGGAAAGGCCCUGCUUUUGUGGGGUGCUCGAGGGGCGAACGGGUGAGUAACACGUGAGUAACCUGCCCUUGACUUUGGGAUAACUUCAGGAAACUGGGGCUAAUACCGGAUAGGAGCUCCUGCUGCAUGGUGGGGGGUGGAAAGUUUCGGCGGUUGGGGAUGGACUCGCGGCUUAUCAGCUUGUUGGUGGGGUAGUGGCUUACCAAGGCAUUGACGGGUAGCCGGCCUGAGAGGGUGACCGGCCACAUUGGGACUGAGAGACGGCCCAGACUGCUACGGGAGGCAGCAGUGGGGAAUAUUGCACAAUGGGCGGAAGCCUGAUGCAGCAACGCCGCGUGCGGGAUGACGGCCUUCGGGUUGUAAACCGCUGUCGCCUGUGACGAAGCGUGAGUGACGGUAAUGGGUAAAGAAGCACCGGCUAACUACGUG
This 468-nucleotide ribosomal RNA is filed under the name uncultured bacterium. RNAcentral describes it as "partial 16S ribosomal RNA". It matches the Rfam family "Bacterial small subunit ribosomal RNA", at positions 28 to 507 of the family's 1533-position model. The record is from RNAcentral.